This 888-nucleotide ribosomal RNA is filed under the name Xylaria sp. 3C3J21. Its description in RNAcentral is "eukaryotic LSU rRNA". The stretch from base 288 to 888 matches the Rfam family "Eukaryotic large subunit ribosomal RNA", at positions 1 to 626 of the family's 3401-position model. Lineage: Eukaryota; Fungi; Ascomycota; Sordariomycetes; Xylariales; Xylariaceae. The record is from RNAcentral.
GCAUCGAUGAAGAACGCAGCGAAAUGCGAUAAGUAAUGUGAAUUGCAGAAUUCAGUGAAUCAUCGAAUCUUUGAACGCAUAUUGCGCCCAUUAGUAUUCUAGUGGGCAGGACCGUUCGAGCGUCAUUUCGACCCUUAAGCCUUGGUUGCUUAGUGUUGGGAGCCUACGGCAACGUAGCUCCUCAAAGUUAGUGGCGGAGUUGGUUCACACUCUAGACGUAGUAGAUUUUUAUCUCGCCUAUCAGUUGGACCGGUCCCCUGCCGUAAAACCCCCCAACUUCUUAAAGUUGACCUCGAAUCGGUUCAGACAAACUCGCUAAAUUGAAGCAUCUUAGUCAGCGAAGGAAAAGAAACCAACAGGGAUUGCCCUAGUAACGGCGAGUGAAGCGGCAACAGCUCAAAUUUGAAAUCUGGCCCUCGGGUCCGAGUUGUAAUUUGUAGAGGAUGCUUUUGGCGCGGUGCCUUCCGAGUUCCCUGGAACGGGACGCCUUAGAGGGUGAGAGCCCCGUACGGUUGGACACCAAGCCUCUGUAAAGCUCCUUCGACGAGUCGAGUAGCUUGGGAAUGCUGCUCUAAAUGGGAGGUAAAUUUCUUCUAAAGCUAAAUAUUGGCCAGAGACCGAUAGCGCACAAGUAGAGUGAUCGAAAGAUGAAAAGCACUUUGAAAAGAGGGUUAAACAGCACGUGAAAUUGUUGAAAGGGAAGCGUUUGCGACCAGACCUUUUCCUAGCGGAUCAUCCGGUGUUCUCACCGGUGCACUUCGCUAGGUUUAGGCCAGCAUCGGUUUCUGUAGGGGGAUAAAAGCUCUGGGAACGUAGCUCCUCCGGGAGUGUUAUAGCCCUCUGCAUAAUACCCUUACGGGGACCGAGGACCGCGCUCGGCAAGGAUGC